AUUUUAAUAAAAUUCAUAUAACAUUUGUGAGAAAAGAAACGCAUGAGUUCUCUCUUUCUCGGAAGAACUAUGAGCUGACGAGUUGAAGAACAGAGAUGAUAAACUGAAGUCGAAGAACUGAUUUCCUCAAGCGUGAGUUCGAUUCUCAUCUCCAAUAACAAUUUCAUCAAGCAAGAGGAGAAUGAUAAGGAACUGAAGCUAAGACCCCGAUUUUAGACAGAACAGAAGAGCUCAACAGCUAAAGAGCUUCUCGCUGAAGGACACGAUUUUCAUCAUAGUUCUCGCAGAAAACAGGAUUUUGUUGGAAUAGGGUUUAUCAGUGCCACCAAGGUCUCUGGAUCCUUCAAAGGACUUAGCUGUUUAUGGAUAUGGAAGUAUAGGUAGGAAGGAGAGAAUGAAAAGUUGGAACCAAAAGCAAGAUAUGAAAAAAAGAUGGAGAGGAUGGCGAAGAUGAAUUUGAUUUAUCACUGUUAAAUGAAGCAACACAACCAUUAUCAAGAAAAUGGUGGGACUCUUAAAAGUGCUAGUACAACUUCUCUACUAAAAGAGUGCAUUUAUGUAAUAAGCUGUUGCUAUGAAGAUGAAACAGAAUGGGGAAAAGAGGUAAUAAUUCUGAUCCAUCUCUUAAAAUUCCUUACUUUCUAAUCGUGUUCAAAAUGUACCGGUUGUUCAAUGUAACUACUUUGAAAAAGCAGCUUGGCUGGAUAAAGAGGUACUUGUUCUGAUCUAGAGUUGCAUGAGAUGUGCAUUGUUCACAUUGUUUCUAUUGGGUCAGAAUCAUUGUGCACACUGAAUCCAGACUGUGUUGACGGGUACACUAUUUCAUUUUGAAUAUUCUAGUACAUCACAUGUUUUCUUACUUGAUCUCAAUGUCUUAUUGGGAGAGACUUAAAAUUAUUUUUUCUGAUAUAAUCUUUGUUAUUUGUUUUCUUCUUGUUUUUGUCACAAGGAAAGGAGCAAUAUUGACAUAUGAUACUCGUACAGAUCUGUUAUUUUUUAGUUCAUUUACUACAUCGGACUAUGUUGCUGCUCAGCGGCUUACGUGAGACAUGUUCUUUAUGUUAGCUAUACGAAAGUAAUCUAACCCAGUCAUGAAUUACUUUUAGACAUCAUCUGAGUGAACUAGUCUGAUGUUAUUGUUGUCAUCUGAGAACUGUAGAAAUAUAGCGGCAUCUGAAAAAACUGAAAACGUCCAAUAUUUGUAUCCUACCUUAGGUUUACUUUUACACUGAAGUAUUUGCCAAAACAUUUUAAGUUGAUACCUUUGAACCUACAAUCCAAUCCAAGCAUAUGACUUGAUAAGAUAUAGUUAAGUAUCUAAUAUCCUGAGAGUGAUGCUUAAUUCAGAAAGGAGAAAAUGAUCUAGGACCAUUGUCUUCUAAUUUCUAGCUUGUUCUGUCGUUAUGUAUAUUCUUUUAUGCUUAGUUUGUGCAUAUACUCUUUAAUGCUAACCUUUCCAAUUUGUGUCGUAUACAUUUCUUACAGAUACAAACAGAAAUGGAUCUUUAAGAAGUACAGGAAACAUGACUGGUAUAACUUCGUCACAUGCAAAAUGAGACUACUUAUCAAGACAAAGCUACUCAGACUAAGAACAAAGACGAAGAUACAAUUGAAAAGCUACUCAAAGCCAUUACUACACUUUGUAUUAAAGUGGAUAGUAUGGAAAAUGAGAUACAAAAGCUAAAGACUAAUGAAGAUAACCUGAAGUCUAAAGCUAAUAUAAAUCAGCAGCAUGACUAUAAAAAUGUGGAGCUACGUCGAUCGGAAGACGGUAAAAUUCCAGAGAUAAAAGGAGACGAUGGUCGUCGAUUUGUGUUCAAACGUGGGAUUACAUUGCCUCAUAGCAUUGCAAAUCACCUCAUUCGGCAUAAAAGAUAUUGUCAGACCAAAAAUCUCAGGUAGAAACAUGUCACCCAGACACAUAAGGGAGAAAAUUGUCAGGAAGAGUGCAGGGAAAGCAAAGAGAGAGAAGAAGGAAGGAAAUACAAGGAGGAGAAUCCCCAUUGACCACAAUGUUCCUUAGUGGGCUUGAGGGGUCAGGAACACAAUACAUACGUUUAAAGAGGACCAAGAUAUGGAAAAUAUAUAAAAAAUAACAUUGUUGCAGAAGGAGAAGUCAAAGCAGCAAAAGUCACUGAUACCAAGAUGAUAUUUAUACACCACCCACUAAGACCCCAACAGAUGAGAGGCUAAAUAGAUAGGAUCCCCUCUUUACCUCACUCUCGAUUUUGAUGUCUUUCUUUAGAUUACAUUCUGUAUUAUUUGAUCAUAUGUAUUUGAGGGAAAAUAGUUUUUUAUUUGUGAGGGAGUAAGGCCAACAUUUUAUGUGUGACUGCUAUUUUUAUUUGUCUUUUGUGUUUAUACUUGGGGUGUUAUGUCUUACAUAAUGUUUUAUAUGCUUUUGUGGAUGUUUUGAGCAUAUAUCUCCCCUUUGGUUAUGAUUGAGAAAUGAUUUAGACCCUUCUGGAAAAA
This is a long non-coding RNA of Solanum pennellii, 2472 nucleotides long. RefSeq lists it as uncharacterized. The record is from RefSeq and is a predicted model, not a curated record. The transcript has 8 exons. Lineage: Eukaryota; Viridiplantae; Streptophyta; Magnoliopsida; Solanales; Solanaceae.